This 253-nucleotide ribosomal RNA is filed under the name uncultured bacterium. RNAcentral describes it as "partial 16S ribosomal RNA". It matches the Rfam family "Bacterial small subunit ribosomal RNA", at positions 524 to 776 of the family's 1533-position model. The record is from RNAcentral.
UACGAAGGGGGCUAGCGUUGCUCGGAAUUACUGGGCGUAAAGCGCACGUAGGCGGCUUUCUAAGUCGGGGGUGAAAUCCUGGAGCUCAACUCCAGAACUGCCUUCGAUACUGGAGAGCUCGAGUCCGGGAGAGGUGAGUGGAACUGCGAGUGUAGAGGUGAAAUUCGUAGAUAUCAGGAAGAACACCAAUGGCGAAAGCAGCUCUCUGGGACGGUACUGACGCUGAGACGCGAAAGCGUGGGGAGCGAACAGG